Molecule: long non-coding RNA, 442 nt
Filed under: Brassica napus (rape)
Lineage: Eukaryota; Viridiplantae; Streptophyta; Magnoliopsida; Brassicales; Brassicaceae
Description: long non-coding RNA (BNAP_LNC017161)
Source: RNAcentral
GAGGGUGAAUGUGAAUUGAACUAGCUAGGGUCAGAUCUAAUAGAAUGAUAGGUGGAUAUUCUGGUACAUGAAUAUGUGAUAACCUUUUUUUUUUUGUCAAAGAAUAUGUGAUAGGGAAAUUUCACCCGGUAACUAACAAAAAAAACUUAAAUUAAAUAAGUAACCAAAAGUUCAUUAUCUUUCUUCUUUUUCUUUCCUUUCAUUUCCUAUCUUUCUCUAUCUUCUCUCUAAAAAUCUAAUUUUGUUUUUAUUUUUGUCAUUUCACCAAUUCUCUCGUCGUGAUAGCCUUAUAAAUCAAGCAUUACAAAAGCCUCUAAGCAAAAAAAAUAAAUCAAGCAUUUUUAAGCUAGAUGUUAAAAUAUCGGCCUUGAUUAAACUAACCCUAAUUGCUGAAAACUAAAUACUUAUAGUUCCACAAUUAAUAUUGUUAACCAUAAUAAUC